CGGUGUUUAACUGGCGUGAUGUGGGACGUCCUACCGGUGGGCUUAGCCUCGCGAGGGGCGGCCCAACUAAUAUCCCGUCGCGGUGCUCUUUACUGAGUGUCGAGUCGGGCCGGUACGUUUACUUUGAACAAAUUAGAGUGCUUAAAGCAGGCUAUCCUCGCCUGAAUACUGCGUGCAUGGAAUAAUGGAAUAGGACCUCGGUUCUAUUUUGUUGGUUUUCGGAACCCCGAGGUAAUGAUUAAUAGGGACAGAUGGGGGCAUUCGUAUUGCGACGUUAGAGGUGAAAUUCUUGGAUCGUCGCAAGACGGACAGAAGCGAAAGCAUUUGCCAAAAAUGUUUUCAUUAAUCAAGAACGAAAGUUAGAGGUUCGAAGGCGAUCAGAUACCGCCCUAGUUCUAACCAUAAACGAUGCCAGCUAGCGAUCCGCCGAAGUUCCUCCGAUGACUCGGCGGGGCAGCUUCCGGGAAACCAAAGCUUUUGGGUUCCGGGGGAAGUAUGGUUGCAAAGCUGAAACUUAAAGGAAUUGACGGAAGGGCACCACCAGGAGUGGAGCCUGCGGCUUAAUUUGACUCAACACGGGAAACCUCACCAGGCCCAGACACCGGAAGGAUUGACAGAUUGAUAGCUCUUUCUUGAUUCGGUGGGUGGUGGUGCAUGGGCCGUUCUUAGUUGGUGGAGCGAUUUGUCUGGUUAAUUCCGAUAACGAACGAGACUCUAGCCUGCUAAAUAGGCGUACCUUAUGGUAUCGCGAAGGCCCCCGGCUUCGGCCGGUGGGUUUUUACUACCAACGUACAAACAAAUCUUCUUAGAGGGACAGGCGG
Molecule: ribosomal RNA, 821 nt
Filed under: uncultured eukaryote
Lineage: Eukaryota
Description: SSU rRNA
Rfam family: Eukaryotic small subunit ribosomal RNA
Source: RNAcentral